AGUGAACGCUGGCGGCAGGCCUAACACAUGCAAGUCGAACGGCAGCACAGUAAGAGCUUGCUCUUACGGGUGGCGAGUGGCGGACGGGUGAGGAAUACAUCGGAAUCUACUUUUUCGUGGGGGAUAACGUAGGGAAACUUACGCUAAUACCGCAUACGACCUACGGGUGAAAGCAGGGGAUCUUCGGACCUUGCGCGAUUGAAUGAGCCGAUGUCGGAUUGGCUAGUUGGCGGGGUAAAGGCCCACCAAGGCGACGAUCCGUAGCUGGUCUGAGAGGAUGAUCAGCCACACUGGAACUGAGACACGGUCCAGACUCCUACGGGAGGCAGCAGUGGGGAAUAUUGGACAAUGGGCGCAAGCCUGAUCCAGCCAUACCGCGUGGGUGAAGAAGGCCUUCGGGUUGUAAAGCCCUUUUGUUGGGAAAGAAAAGCAGCAGGUUAAUACCCCGCUGUUCUGACGGUACCCAAAGAAUAAGCACCGGCUAACUUCGUG
This 492-nucleotide ribosomal RNA is filed under the name uncultured bacterium. RNAcentral describes it as "partial 16S ribosomal RNA". It matches the Rfam family "Bacterial small subunit ribosomal RNA", at positions 29 to 507 of the family's 1533-position model. The record is from RNAcentral.